RNAcentral lists this long non-coding RNA (717 nucleotides) under Gossypium barbadense (sea-island cotton). Its description in RNAcentral is "long non-coding RNA (GBAR_LNC020622)". The record is from RNAcentral. Lineage: Eukaryota; Viridiplantae; Streptophyta; Magnoliopsida; Malvales; Malvaceae.
AUCACACAGUCAGUCAAGGCAUUAUUAACCAACAUACCCUUAAGCCACACACACGUGAUCACUGAUCACAUGAUGAUAACAUGGAAAGGAAGCUUGCUUAAACUCAUCCUAACAUAAGGUGGCCAGUUUGAGUUCAAUAUCAUUUCUAAACGAAUAAAAUAUGCAAGGAAGACUAAUCAUUGACCUAUACAUAUAUAAACUAUAGGAAAAAGAAGAAACCCUUGUUUCUCAUAUGCGUGAUACAGCGAUUAGGUAAGAGGCAGAGUGAAGCCCAAGAAGAUUGUUUGUGGCAGUGCCAAAUCAGCUCCUCACAAGGUUUUUAGAUCUUAGAGAUGAGCUGUAGAAAUUGUCCUGGUCUGGAAUCUCUGCCCAUAAGCCACCCAAAGGUGUUCUAUUCGGUGAAACUUCCCUGCCUGUUAUGUGCUGCCACCAGGCAGGUUCUGCAAUAUUAUGGGAUAUAUCUAGUACUUUGUAACACUAAUAUCAAUUUUCUAGUCUUUAAGAUUUGUAUAAUUAUUUUCCUCUCAUCAAUUUGCAAUAGUUUUUGAUAAAUUUUUUUUUUCAGAUUCUUAAUGUUCUUUUGGUAUUUUUCUGCUAUGGUUUUCUACUGCUCCUGUUGAGCGCCGUGUUGAGAGAGAAUUCAUGCAAAUAAAACCGUUGGGAAAAGUUGAAAUUUGGCAGCUUUGAUGUUUAGUUUACUACUAAAGGGAAAAAAAA